UGGGGAAUAUUGCACAAUGGGCGAAAGCCUGAUGCAGCAACGCCGCGUGAGUGAUGAAGGCCUUCGGGUUGUAAAGCUCUGUCUUUUGGGACGAUAAUGACGGUACCAAAGGAGGAAGCCACGACUAACUACGUGCCAGCAGCCGCGGUAAUACGUAGGUGGCAAGCGUUGUCCGGAUUUACUGGGCGUAAAGGAUGCGUAGGCGGAUUUUUAAGUGAGAUGUGAAAACCCUAAGCUUAACUUGGGGACUGCAUUUCAUACUGGAAAUCUAGAGUGCGGGAGAGGAGAAUGGAAUUCCUAGUGUAGCGGUGAAAUGCGUAGAGAUUAGGAAGAACACCAGUGGCGAAGGCGAUUCUCUGGACCGUAACUGACGCUGAGGCAUGAAAGCGUGGGUAGCAAAACAGGAUUAGAUACCCUGGUAGUCCACGCCGUAAACGAUGAGUACUAGGUGUAGGAGGUAUCGACACCUUCUGUGCCGCAGUUAACACAAUAAGUACUCCGCCUGGGGAAGUACGAUCGCAAGAUUAAAAACUUAAAUGAA
RNAcentral lists this ribosomal RNA (541 nucleotides) under uncultured bacterium. RNAcentral's name for it is "partial 16S ribosomal RNA". It matches the Rfam family "Bacterial small subunit ribosomal RNA", at positions 355 to 909 of the family's 1533-position model. The record is from RNAcentral.